This 225-nucleotide ribosomal RNA is filed under the name uncultured bacterium. RNAcentral's name for it is "partial 16S ribosomal RNA". It matches the Rfam family "Bacterial small subunit ribosomal RNA", at positions 1276 to 1500 of the family's 1533-position model. The record is from RNAcentral.
GAAAUAAACGUCCCAGUUCGGAUUGUAGUCUGCAACCCGACUACAUGAAGCUGGAAUCGCUAGUAAUCGCGAAUCAGAAUGUCGCGGUGAAUACGUUCCCGGGUCUUGUACACACCGCCCGUCACACCAUGGGAGUCGGAAAUGCCCGAAGUCAGUGACCCAACCGUAAGGAGGGAGCUGCCGAAGGUGGAGCCGGUAACUGGGGUGAAGUCGUAACAAGGUAUC